RNAcentral lists this small RNA (83 nucleotides) under Marmota monax (woodchuck). The record is from RNAcentral. Lineage: Eukaryota; Metazoa; Chordata; Mammalia; Rodentia; Sciuridae.
GUCAGGUGCAGUGAUGUACACCUGUAAUCCCAGCAACUUGGAGAACUGAGGCAGGAGGAUUGCAAGUUCAAAGCCAGCCUCAA